CCCGCACAAGCGGAGGAACAUGUGGUUUAAUUCGAUGAUACGCGAGGAACCUUACCUGGGCUUAAAUGUAGAGUGCAUUUUUUAGAGAUAGAAAUUCCCUUCGGGGCUUUCUGCAAGGUGCUGCAUGGUUGUCGUCAGCUCGUGCCGUGAGGUGUCGGGUUAAGUCCCAUAACGAGCGCAACCCUUAUCGUUAGUUGCCAGCUGGUAAAGCCGGGGACUCUAGCGAAACUGCCACCGUAAGGUGAGAGGAAGUGGGGAUGACGUCAAAUCAGCACGGCCCUUAUGUCCAGGGCUACACACGUGUUACAAUGGCCGGCACAGAGGGCAGCUACCUGGUGACAGGAUGCUAAUCUCGAAAACCGGUCUCAGUUCGGAUCGAAGUCUGCAACUCGACUUCGUGAAGCUGGAUUCGCUAGUAAUCGCGCAUCAGCCAUGGCGCGGUGAAUACGUUCCCGGGCCUU
This 461-nucleotide ribosomal RNA is filed under the name uncultured Sphingobacteriales bacterium. Its description in RNAcentral is "bacterial SSU rRNA". It matches the Rfam family "Bacterial small subunit ribosomal RNA", at positions 920 to 1382 of the family's 1533-position model. Lineage: Bacteria; Pseudomonadati; Bacteroidota; Sphingobacteriia; Sphingobacteriales. The record is from RNAcentral.